UUCACCUUAGUAGAUAGGCCGAU
This 23-nucleotide small nuclear RNA is filed under the name Arabidopsis thaliana (thale cress). Its description in RNAcentral is "snRNA_08834". The record is from RNAcentral. Lineage: Eukaryota; Viridiplantae; Streptophyta; Magnoliopsida; Brassicales; Brassicaceae.